RNAcentral lists this ribosomal RNA (497 nucleotides) under uncultured bacterium. RNAcentral describes it as "partial 16S ribosomal RNA". It matches the Rfam family "Bacterial small subunit ribosomal RNA", at positions 28 to 507 of the family's 1533-position model. The record is from RNAcentral.
GAUGAACGCUGGCGGCGUGCCUAAUACAUGCAAGUCGAGCGAACAGACGAGGAGCUUGCUCCUCUGACGUUAGCGGCGCACGGGUGAGUAACACGUGGAUAACCUACCUAUAAGACUGGGAUCACUUCGGGAAACCGGAGCUAAUACCGGAUAAUAUAUUGAACCGCAUGGUUCAAUAGUGAAAGACGGUUUUGCUGUCACUUAUAGAUGGAUCCGCGCCGCAUUAGCUAGUUGGUAAGGUAACGGCUUACCAAGGCAACGAUGCGUAGCAGACGUGAGAGGGUGAUCGGCCACACUGGAACGGGGACACGGUCCAGACUCCUGCGGGAGGCAGCAGAAGGGAAUCUUCGGCAAUAGGCGGAAGCCUGACGGAGCGACGCCACGUGAGUGAUGAAGGUCUUCGGAUCGUAAAACUCUGUUAUUAGGGAAGAACAAAUGUGUAAGUAAAUAUGCACGUCUUGACGGUAACUAAUCAGAAAGCCACGGCUAACUACGUG